UCUUCUUGUUACACAUUGCAAAUGUUUCGGCCAUCUCUUCUAUGAAAGUGUGCAGAUGUGAUCCACAGACUGCAAACUUUUUGUCACUGAAAAAACAAAUAACGCUUAAAUUCUCGUAUUUAAAGAAAACCCCUCAGAAGAAAAUUUGUACUUUAGGUGGCCAUUUUAGUCAAAAAUUACCACUUCAAGUAGCAAGCAAGUGGUGAAUCUAGUCUGAUUCACAAAAUUUAAAUCAUGCCAACAAGUGGCGAUUUAUAGCUUUGUCCAAAGUUCUUCCGAAGAUUUUCCAAAAUAUCAAAUUGUUGUGUAUCGGAGACACUAUGUGUCACCUAAAAACAACAUAUACAACAUUUACAAUUAAAGACUAAAUAUUUUACACAUUUUUAAAAUUUAAAGGAUUAAAGAUUUAACAAUUAUUAUAUCUAUUUUGACCUUUUAAAGCCUAAUUGAACAUUGUAACUGUAACUUAUACAAAAAGUCAAUAAUACCUUGUUAGGGUUUUUAAAAUUUAUUGUCAUACAUUAUGAAAAAACAACAAUAUAUGAAAUAAAUUAACAACUUAUUUUCGUCAGAAAAAUAUGACAAUGAAAAAGUUGAAACGGACCGACUAUCUUCAAAAAUUUUAUAAAAAUUUUAGUGAGUUUCCAUGGCUGUUCAUCAUGGAUUUUAUAAAAUUUUUGAAGAUAGUUUAUUGCAUGUUUUCAUUUUAGUUAGACUCACAAUUUACAUUGUGUUCAAUAGUUAAUCUUGAGUGCCAAAAAAUAACAUUGACAUGUGCAAUUUUACCACAAUUAAAAUAUUAGCCUACAUAUGGAUGGUUAUGAUUAAUAUCUUAAUUAUUUCAUUGUUGAAUUAUGAUUCAAGAGAUAGAUUGAUUAACAAAUUGAAGAAAAUAAUAAACAAAAUUAAGAAGAACCUUGUCAAUAUAAAAGGUAGCAUGACAUGUUAAGAGAGUUAAGUUACUUGAAUACUGUAUGAGGUUAGUCAUAUUCUUAGCACAAAAUUAUCAAUACAAGUCCGUGAUUACUUUUUGAAAAUGAAACCGAAAAAUAUAAAGGAUCCCAAUAAGGGGACCAUUGGAACCCAAGAAAUAAGAUGAACAAUAUGGUUUUCCAUUCACAUCCCCAUUCUUUCUCACUUGUUAAAUCAUGUGUUAUAGUAUAUGCAUUAAAGUAAAUUGCACUUUUGGUCCAUGUCCUAUAUUAAUUAUUUAUGUAUUAUCCAAAGGGGACGAUUUUGCAUUUCUGAUUCCUAGUUCAUUCUAUAAAACUCUGUUCAUAAGGCGUAUUGAAGGAAAUAACCAUUUUCUUCUUGUCUUAUUCAUUUUCUUCAUCACAUUCGUCUUCUUCCUAUAUUACCCUAAAAUCUAGCCCACAAAGAGGUGUUUUCUUCAUCACAUUCGUCUUCUUCCUAUAUUACCCUAAAAUCUAGCCCGCAAAGAGGUGUUACUGAAAAAUGUGGAUUUUAAGGCCUUCAUAUUUUGGAUUUGUAUUUGUUGGAUGAAGAAAGAGAUGAUUUGUUUUGGUCUAUUUUAGGGUUUUGUAGGAAGAAAGAGCAUGUUUGUUCAAAUGUAGAAUUAUGUAUAACCCUACUCGUGCCAUCAUCCCACCUAAAUUAUCAACUGAACUCCUUGAUAACUUUUCCAUUAAAAACCAAAUAUGAGCAACAUGAACUUGACACCUAAAGAAACUAAAUCCGACUGGUAGUAUGAUUUUGAUUAACUUGGGUUGAGUUUAUGUGAAGUUACUUGACAACCGAAGGAGACUCCUACAUCGUAAGCGCGAUAAUCAAAAGUCAAAGAGAAUUCGGUUGGAGCAUUCCAACUACAAUGUUGUUUAUAGGAUUCGAUGAAGAUAUACAUAGGUAAAUUUUCUUUUCCGCAAUUGAAACUUAUGAGUGAGGAUGAAGUUUAAAGCCAAUAAGCAAUGGGUGGUGUGACUCGUGUGAAAAAAGAUCUUGAGGAGGAAGCGAAAAUACAUGCAGCGAGACCCGUGAAUUCUUAAAACAUUUUUUGCAAAUUAGUAAUGGCAUGUGAUGAUGCUCUUUGUCGUUGCCACAAUCUUCAAUCCCCCUAAUAAAUAAAGAACUCUUUGCCACAUGUCCUCUUCUCCUUCAUUUGGACACAUGACAUUUUCUAGAAUUUUUGAAUUUUCUAUUUUCCACUUGUCAUGUUAUUGUAUUUUUCAUUUUAUUAAAUUAAAAUUCCACAUUUAAUAUGUAUGGUAAUAUAUAUGUAAGGUAUUUAUUAAAAAAUGUUUAUUUAUAUAAUGUAUUCAAUACAUUAAAG
RNAcentral lists this long non-coding RNA (2287 nucleotides) under Lactuca sativa (garden lettuce). RNAcentral's name for it is "long non-coding RNA (LSAT_LNC003941)". Lineage: Eukaryota; Viridiplantae; Streptophyta; Magnoliopsida; Asterales; Asteraceae. The record is from RNAcentral.